RNAcentral lists this ribosomal RNA (253 nucleotides) under uncultured bacterium. RNAcentral describes it as "partial 16S ribosomal RNA". It matches the Rfam family "Bacterial small subunit ribosomal RNA", at positions 524 to 776 of the family's 1533-position model. The record is from RNAcentral.
UACGAAGGGGGCUAGCGUUGCUCGGAAUCACUGGGAGUAAAGGGUGCGUAGGCGGGUUUUUAAGUCAGGGGUGAAAUCCUGGAGCUCAACUCCAGAACUGCCUUUGAUACUGAAGAUCUUGAGUUCGGGAGAGGUGAGUGGAACUGCGAGUGUAGAGGUGAAAUUCGUAGAUAUUCGCAAGAACACCAGUGGCGAAGGCGGCUCACUGGCCCGAUACUGACGCUGAGGCACGAAAGCGUGGGGAGCAAACAGG